CUGAGUCGUGCCAAAGUAAGAAUCAACUAACGGUUCACCCCCUCUAUCUCAACUUCAAAUUCAUCAGAAUUGAAAAACAUAUAGAUAUUUUGUCUGUUCAAAUAUAUCACUAUAUAUAGCAGGCAAGCCUUUGUACAGCACUGCCGCCACUAUGGCCACCUUCUCGAUCCCAGUUACAAUCCCACUAGAGAUUCCAAAAGCCCAUUUCCGAAGGAAAUUAAAACAAAAAGGAGAUUUCGAUUUGUUGCCCACCUGUGGUGCCAUUUCCAGUUACUGCCCUGUAUGAACAAAGAUAUUCCCAGGCCCUUCCAUCUUACACCCAUUAGGAUAGGGCAACAUCUAACAACUUCACGAAACUAGACACAGCCUCAAGCCUUUGCCACCUUGACUGUCUCGCAGGGCAGAGGCUGCAAUGCCGAAAGAAAUAUUAUUCAGAAAAAAUGUGCAAAGAGAAAGAAAUUCUUCGCAGUAUUGAUGAUGGUCUAAAAAUAUUCUGUACAGCACUCCUGGCACAUCCUUGUCAUCCAAAGGACAUUAAGUGGCACACUGAAUACAAAAUACUGCAGCUACAUUGAGGUUUCCUAGCAGGAAUUUAUGGUGCGUGUGAAUGCAGAUGAAGGCAGCUUAAAUAACGCGCAUAAAUGGAGGACAGGAAUUUUUGGAGCAUGGUUCCACGCGCACCCGUUAGAACAGUAAAUUCAAAAGAAAAAAAAACUAGGAAAAAAAUAAAAACUGAUUUUUUUUUUGUAACAUACAUAGUCUACCGUAUACUCGUGUAUGAAGUUUCACGAAGAAAUGGCGUCCGUCGUAUUCUAGGCAAAAAUGACAAAAUCCAAGCUAUACUAAGAAACACAGUUUGAUGAAUGGCAAGGCCCUGAGUGCAUUUUCUUCAAUAAGGAUACCACGGGUGUCAUUACUUCACGAAACUUGGCACAUGAGCAGAAUAGUCGAUCAAGUUCGAUACCCCAAAAUUUUAGAAUUUUUUAAAAAAAAUUCUAGUGUGUGUGUUUUUUUUCUGAUUUUACUAUUCAUGUGGCAUAAAUGGAGCACUGUGUUAUCUUGUGGGCAGGACUUGAAUGGGGGGUGGGGGUGGGAUGGAGACCACUCUUGCUUGAAUCAAUGAAGAAAGAUGGACUACUCGUACCAGCCAGGCCAGCUACGAGUUUACAGACACACGCCAAUCUCAAGAAACUGGGCUCGUAAGAAGCGUAUUAAUGCCGGCUUGUGCAGGCAUUCAGUUCAGCCCAGCUUGGACUCAGAGGCGUGCAUUUCCAAGUGAUGCUGAGCCGGGCUGUGCCAAGUUAAGGCUCGUUUCAUUGAAGCUGCUGUACUGGAAGAUGCCAAAUCUUUAAUGGGAGAGCAGUCAUCAUCUAGUAGCACUUGAUUGGACUUGUACUUCAAACUCUAUUAAGAGGGGAAUUCCUCCAUUGAAUCUGCCCAGAACCACAAUAAUGUACUCCCUCCCUUCCUAAAUGUAAGUCUUUGUAGAGAUUUCACUGUAAACUGCAUACGGAUGUAUAUAGAUGCAUUUUAAGUUUAGAUUCAUUUAUUUUGCUCCGUAUGUAGUCCAUCUAGUGAAAUCUCUACAAAGACUUAUGUUUAAGAACGGAGGAAGUAUACUACUCUAAGACACCGACGAGACAACAAUCUAUGCUCCUAUUUAUCUUUCUUUCUUUAAUAUCUCCUCAUGGAGGCAAUGAGACGCUUCAUUCCGCGACAUAUUAUCAGUAUUCAGAUUAUCUCGCAUUUUAUGGGCGUAUAGUACACCACAGUUGCCCUAAAGCAGUUAGGAGUCAUGUGCUAUGAAAUGCUGAGAUUACAGAACGGUUGUACACAUACUGUACUGCCCUAAACCAGUUAGGAGUCAUGUGCUAUGAAAUGCUUUACUAAAUGCCCAUCAAAGCAGUGGUAUUCACUACUCAGCCAUGGGCCUAAAGUCCUACAGAGAAACAUAGAUAUAUGAGCUCCUUGCGUCCGAUUCCUAACAUUUGAAUGCUGUGAAGUGAGAACCCAGAUUUUCCCAUAGCAAAUCAAAAUCAAGCUAAAAAUUGGUUGUGGAUGGCUAAUACGCUAAAAAAAAUUAUGCAAAUGUCUGGCUUUAACCUCCAUUACGAGUAUAAACAAGCUGGACUCUAGUAAAGGAUAGCAUAACAGAAACAAACUUGCCCAUACCUCACGAAUAUUUACCUACGGCAGUCACUGUUCUGUACAGGAACACACAUAACUGAGCAAGCUUGGUCUGCUGCUAACUUGCAAUGACAGACUGAGCCCUUAGCGCCAGUAGAACUGUUGCUGACUGUCGGCAGCUCUUGAAAAAAUACAGCUGAAGACAGACAGCCCAUGCUUACUGCACUGUAAGAUUCCAAACCCAACUUUUGGGUCGUCCACAGAUUGCCGAC
Molecule: long non-coding RNA, 2399 nt
Filed under: Triticum aestivum (bread wheat)
Lineage: Eukaryota; Viridiplantae; Streptophyta; Magnoliopsida; Poales; Poaceae
Description: long non-coding RNA (TAES_LNC023373)
Source: RNAcentral